GACGAACGCUGGCGGCGUGCUUAACACAUGCAAGUCGAACGGAAAGGCCCUGCUUUUGUGGGGUGCGCGAGUGGCGAACGGGUGAGGAACACGUGAGUAACCUGCCCUUGACUUUGGGAUAACUUCAGGAAACUGGGGCUAAUACCGGAUAGGAGCUCCUGCUUCAUUGUGGGGGUUGGAAAGUUUCGGCGGUUGGGGAUGGACUGGCGGCUUAUCAGCUUGUUGGUGGGGUAGUGGCUUACCAAGGCUUUGACGGGUAGCCGGACUGAGAGGGUGACCAGCAACAUUGGGACUGAGAUACGGCCAAGACUCAUACGGGAGGCAGAAGUGGGGAAUAUUGAACAAUGGGAGGAAGCCUGAUGCAGCAACGCCGCGUGCGGGAUGACGGCCUUCGGGUUGUAAACCGAUUUCGCCUGUGAAGAAGAGUGAGUGACGGUAAUGGGUAAAGAAGCACAGGCUAACUACGUG
This 468-nucleotide ribosomal RNA is filed under the name uncultured bacterium. RNAcentral's name for it is "partial 16S ribosomal RNA". It matches the Rfam family "Bacterial small subunit ribosomal RNA", at positions 28 to 507 of the family's 1533-position model. The record is from RNAcentral.